This 511-nucleotide ribosomal RNA is filed under the name uncultured bacterium. RNAcentral's name for it is "bacterial SSU rRNA". It matches the Rfam family "Bacterial small subunit ribosomal RNA", at positions 954 to 1464 of the family's 1533-position model. The record is from RNAcentral.
AAGCAACGCGAAGAACCUUACCAGGUCUUGACAUCCCGCUGACCGCUAUGGAGACAUAGUUUUCCCUUCGGGGACAGCGGUGACAGGUGGUGCAUGGUUGUCGUCAGCUCGUGUCGUGAGAUGUUGGGUUAAGUCCCGCAACGAGCGCAACCCUUAUUCUUAGUUGCCAUCAUUUAGUUGGGCACUCUAAGGAGACUGCCGGUGACAAACCGGAGGAAGGUGGGGAUGACGUCAAAUCAUCAUGCCCCUUAUGACCUGGGCUACACACGUGCUACAAUGGACGGUACAAACGGUUGCCAACCCGCGAGGGGGAGCUAAUCCGAUAAAACCGUUCUCAGUUCGGAUUGUAGGCUGCAACUCGCCUACAUGAAGCCGGAAUCGCUAGUAAUCGCGGAUCAGCAUGCCGCGGUGAAUACGUUCCCGGGCCUUGUACACACCGCCCGUCACACCACGAGAGUUUGUAACACCCGAAGUCGGUGAGGUAACCUUUUGGGGCCAGCCGCCGAAGGUG